This 497-nucleotide ribosomal RNA is filed under the name uncultured bacterium. RNAcentral's name for it is "partial 16S ribosomal RNA". It matches the Rfam family "Bacterial small subunit ribosomal RNA", at positions 28 to 507 of the family's 1533-position model. The record is from RNAcentral.
GAUGAACGCUGGCGGCGUGCCUAAUACAUGCAAGUCGAGCGAACGGACGAGAAGCUUGCUUCUCUGAUGUUAGCGGCGGACGGGUGAGUAACACGUGGAUAACCUACCUAUAAGACUGGGAUAACUUCGGGAAACCGGAGCUAAUACCGGAUAAUAUUUUGAACCGCAUGGUUCAAAAGUGAAAGACGGUCUUGCUGUCACCUAUAGAUGGAUCCGCGCUGCAUUAGCUAGUUGGUAAGGUAACGGCUUACCAAGGCAACGAUGCAUAGCCGACCUGAGAGGGGGAUCGGCCACACUGGAACUGAGACACGGUCCAGACUCCUACGGGAGGCAGCAGUAGGGAAUCUUCCGCAAUGGGCGAAAGCCUGACGGAGCAACGCCGCGUGAGUGAUGAAGGUCUUCGGAUCGUAAAACUCUGUUAUUAGGGAAGAACAUAUGUGUAAGUAACUGUGCACAUCUUGACGGUACCUAAUCAGAAAGCCACGGCUAACUACGUG